This is a non-coding RNA of Camellia sinensis, 1052 nucleotides long. Lineage: Eukaryota; Viridiplantae; Streptophyta; Magnoliopsida; Ericales; Theaceae. The record is from RefSeq and is a predicted model, not a curated record.
UGUUGCACAUUUAUCACAGAUUGAUUGCAUUUGAAACAGUGCAUUUAUAGAAUUGUUGUUGUCGUUGUCGUCGUCUCUACGUUUGCUCGAGUUGAAUUUCAGAUCCUCUACUUUUGAAAAUAUAUAUGUACAUAUUUUAUCAUGGUAGCUAGUCAUGGAUUGACAUUACCACAUUGACAUUUUCGCUUUUUCCAUUGACGAUGGUGACAUGUAGAGCUAUAGUCAUAUCAGAGAAAAAUGAUGGACAUUUGACUAACUCAAUUGUUAUCAUGCAUAUAUAUAUAUGUAUAUAUGUAUAUACACGGACACAAUAACCUCUGCAUAACAAGUCUUUGGCAAUAAUAUAGGUUCUCUUGGCUUUUUGACAUUUUGGAAUUGUGUACAUUUGACUGAUGCAUACAUAACACAUCCUAUAAGAAAACUUUUUGGGCACUGUUUGUUCUUGGUCAUGAUUGGUAAUAUACAUAACAUGCUUACAAUUCCUAUUUUGGAAAUUAAAUUUGAAGGCUCAUCUUUGUGUUUGUUUGUUUGUUUUUUUUUUUUUUUGAAUCUGCAGUGGCCACGGAAGCUUUUCCGAUGACUCUUUGUUGAACAGUGUUGUUGGACAUCCCCUGCAUUCGUCAAUUCUUGUGCCUUAUCAUGGAUGGAGAAUUAGCCAUAGAACUCACCAUCAGAAUCAUGGACAUGUUGAAAAUGAUGAAUCAUGGGUAUUGUUUUUAGAACGACUUUAAACAGUAAAUUGGGGCAUCGUUGACGGAACACAAAGACUCCGAUUGUCGUUGUCUCUGGCUCUAAAAGUAGUCCACUAUCAUGACUUGGCAGUUUGGAAGAAGUCCAUGGGAGAGGGAGAGGGAGAGGGAGAGAGAGAUGAAUGUCAAGAUCAUCAGACCCCUUUGGUUGAUUCUUCCAUCGACAGAACUGACUGCUAGGUUGGCGGCGCAUCAACAUGAAGGAUGAAACAAGCUUUAAUGCUAUAUGAUAGGUGAUAUAUGCAAAAGGGUACAGAUGGUAUGCCACCUCCAAGGACAUAGCUUCGGGAGUUAGAGGCAGAC